Transfer RNA from Aspergillus rambellii, 81 nucleotides. It matches the Rfam family "tRNA". From Rfam's summary of the family: Transfer RNA (tRNA) molecules are approximately 80 nucleotides in length. Their secondary structure includes four short double-helical elements and three loops (D, anti-codon, and T loops). The record is from Rfam. Lineage: Eukaryota; Fungi; Ascomycota; Eurotiomycetes; Eurotiales; Aspergillaceae.
GGCCGAGUAGCCCAAUGGUAGGGCGUUCGCUUCCGGGUUACAGACCGCGAAAGGUUGCGUGUUCGAGUCACGUCUUGGUCG